UCUUGGUGUAGCAGUGCGGACGUGUUUGUUGUCCCGUGUAAAUGUUGUUUUUUCUCUUUUUUGUAUAUAUUUCACUCUUUUUCCAUUUUCAAAUUAAAUAUACCUUCCGGCAACCCACCUCACCCAACGUGAGACGGAUCUGCUAUUUUUAGACCUUAUAGCUAGAACCUCCAUCAGAAGCUAGCCAGCAAAUUAUCUACUAGCUAUUUAGUCAUUGUUAUCCACUGCUAGCGGCCUUUACCUUUAGCUCAGACACCAGCCGCUUUUAGACUGGAUAAUACCUGCCAGUCUGCACAGCACGAUAUCAACCCUGAGCAUAUUGGACUGCUUUUCUCCACUACAUCACCGGAUUCCUGCCAUUAGCUCUGGACCAUUACACCGGAUCAUCACAGCUAGCUAGCUGCUACCGAGUGGCCCAGCCCCGAAGCUAGCCUUGAGCCAGUCCCAAUGAUCACUCGACUACACAGCUGAUGCCUCCCGGACUCUUACCGGACUCUUCACUAACACGACUAGAAGCCACUACAUCACCGGAUUCCUGCUAGGAACGCUCCAACUGCCAAAAAAAUGACCUUACAUCCAAGCCUGUCACUGCUACACUAGCAGCUGCUCCCUCACAUCUGACCCUGGACUAUACCUGCUGCUUUCUCCUAUAGGGGAGAGAGGGCAUCCUCUCCUGAGUCCGUAAGGGAGUUGCAGCGAUGGGACAAGACUAACUACCAAUUGGGGAGAAAUGAAACGUAACAGGCAUCGACACAGAUGAGCUGUGUGCCUGGAGAGCGGGCACAUCGCAUUUCUCGACAUUUCAAUUUCAGGAAGAAA
RNAcentral lists this long non-coding RNA (819 nucleotides) under Salmo salar (Atlantic salmon). RNAcentral describes it as "lncRNA (ENSSSAG00000093262.1, ENSSSAG00075003353.1)". The record is from RNAcentral. Lineage: Eukaryota; Metazoa; Chordata; Actinopteri; Salmoniformes; Salmonidae.